CCUGUAUGCUGGUUUCCCAGCAUCCUUGUCCGUACCAACAAUUUAAUGCGGUAAGCUUGCUCUCAGUCUUUUCCUUUUUGCAUUUUGCGUUGCAAUGUGACAUAGGUGUUUGUUUCAUGCUACUCCCUCCUUCCAUCUAUAUAAGGCCUAACCCAAAUUUUAUUUUUCCAUCUAUACAAGGUCAAACGAGCUAACCGAUGCGUCUCCCAGUUAAUUCCCCCUCGCAGGUUGCGCGCGGUCAUCCCUGUGAAAACGCGAUGGCCGGCAGUAUUUAUUUGCAUGCAUGCAGAAAAAGGGGAAGUAGCAGGAGCGAGCUCUUUUUUGGCCAAUGCAUGAAGGCGUGGAGGAGUUAUUUUUGAGCUACAUGCAGAAAAAGGGGGAGAGGAAGUUGCAUGGAGGGAUUAAUAGAGAGGGAGGAGAGCGGGUUGCACGGCAUCCAAAAAAAAUUUGCUUGCGAUUUGGUUGGCCAAGUACUAUUUCCAAUAUUUGCUCCUCUUUUUGUGCAACAACCUUGGUAUGAGAGAUUCAAAACUUAGGCCCUGUAUAAAUGGAAGGAGGGAGUACUAUGCUUUGUGAUUCUUUUUACUUGAGCUUACAGUCCUUAAUGCUGCUGCAACCAAGAUAUAUUCUGCCCAUUAUAAUCCUUAUAAGCACUUAGACUUAUUGAUCAUUUGAUGAUAUUCUAGUUGCUAAUCUUAGAAAAAAAAAGAAGUAUUUGUUUCUUACCUUGCUUAAUUGAUGUCUCUAGUAUCAUACAGAUAAAACAAAGCAGCAGCAUAUUAUUGAUUGAAAUAUUCUUAUAAACUCACUUUGGAAAUGCUACUGCCUAUUUCCCCAUAAUAUAGAUUUAUUCCUUGUACAUUAAUAACUAUCUCCUAUAUUUCUGGUCAUUCACCUCGGCAUUCAUUUCUUACUUCCUUCAUGAUUGAUUGCAGAUUAGCAUCUUCAUACUGCAGUGCUCCUUUGUACAUAAAAAAAACUUACAGUUCUUCUUAAUUUAAGGUGAAUGCUCCCAACAAUUAGGCCCAGUAGUAUGUCGUCUCUUGAAGUGAAAUCACAUGGGUACUUGGUUAAAUUAUUUAAAAAGGUUUGUGCAAUUCUGCACAUUUCUGAACUGAAGCAUUUGAGCCAAACUGUACAUUCAACUUUUGACCAUAUAACUUCUACUAGUUACCGAAAAUUUAUAUGAUUGUAUUGUAUUGCAUCUAACAACAGCAGUUCAUCAUUCAUCUAUUUAGCAGGCUUUAAUCUACAUUAUGGGGUCUUAUUUUGUGUCAGACUGCUGGUUUGGAGUGCAAGGACGGCGACUAAACUUCACUUCUGUUUGUCCAG
This 1332-nucleotide long non-coding RNA is filed under the name Triticum aestivum (bread wheat). RNAcentral's name for it is "long non-coding RNA (TAES_LNC006598)". The record is from RNAcentral. Lineage: Eukaryota; Viridiplantae; Streptophyta; Magnoliopsida; Poales; Poaceae.